RNAcentral lists this ribosomal RNA (534 nucleotides) under uncultured bacterium. RNAcentral's name for it is "bacterial SSU rRNA". It matches the Rfam family "Bacterial small subunit ribosomal RNA", at positions 777 to 1308 of the family's 1533-position model. The record is from RNAcentral.
AAUAGAUACCCGGGUAGUCCACGCCGUAAACGAUGUCGACUUGGAGGUUGUUCCCUUGAGGAGUGGCUUCCGGAGCUAACGCGUUAAGUCGACCGCCUGGGGAGUACGGCCGCAAGGUUAAAACUCAAAUGAAUUGACGGGGGGCCCGCACAAGCGGUGGAGCAUGUGGUUUAAUUCGAUGCAACGCGAAGAACCUUACCUACUCUUGACAUCCAGAGAACUUAGCAGAGAUGCUUUGGUGCCUUCGGGAACUCUGAGACAGGUGCUGCAUGGCUGUCGUCAGCUCGUGUUGUGAAAUGUUGGGUUAAGUCCCGCAACGAGCGCAACCCUUAUCCUUUGUUGCCAGCGGUUCGGCCGGGAACUCAAAGGAGACUGCCAGUGAUAAACUGGAGGAAGGUGGGGAUGACGUCAAGUCAGUCAUGGCCCUUACGAGUAGGGCUACGACACGUGCUACAAUGGCGUAUACAAAGAGAAGCGACCUCGCGAGAGCAAGCGGACCUCAUAAAGUACGUCGUAGUCCGGAUUGGAGUCUGC